Molecule: ribosomal RNA, 482 nt
Filed under: uncultured bacterium
Lineage: Bacteria
Description: partial 16S ribosomal RNA
Rfam family: Bacterial small subunit ribosomal RNA
Source: RNAcentral
AUUGAACGCUGGCGGCAUGCCUUACACAUGCAAGUCGAACGGUAACAGGUCUUCGGUUGCUGACGAGUGGCGAACGGGUGAGUAAUACAUCGGAACGUGCCCGAUCGUGGGGGAUAACGAGGCGAAAGCUUUGCUAAUACCGCAUACGAUCUACGGACGAGAGCGGGGGAUCUUCGGACCUCGCGCGGGCGGAGCGGCCGAUGGCAGAGUAGGUAGUUGGUGGGAUAAAAGCUUACCAAGCCGACGAUCUGUAGCUGGUCUGAGAGGAUGAUCAGCCACACUGGGACUGAGACACGGCCCAGACUCCUACGGGAGGCAGCAGUGGGGAAUGUUGGACAAUGGGCGAAAGCCUGAUCCAGCCAUGCCGCGUGCAGGAUGAAGGCCUUUGGGUUGUAAACUGCUUUUGUACGGAACGAAAAGCCUCUUUCUAAUAAAGAGGGGUCAUGACGGUACCGUAAGAAUAAGCACCGGCUAACUACGUG